AUUGAACGCUGGCGGCGUGCCUAACACAUGCAAGUCGAGCGGUAACAGGUGUAGCAAUACAUGCUGACGAGCGGCGAACGGGUGAGUAAUGCUUCGGGAAUCUACCUUAGUGGGUGGGGAAUAACCUAGCCGAAAGGUUAGCUAAUACCGCAUACGUCCUACGGGAGAAAGACAGGGGAUCGUAAGACCUUGCGCCAAAGAUGAGCCGAAGUCGGAUUAGCUAGUUGGUAGGGAACGGCCUACCAAGGCGACGAUCCGUAGCUGGUCUGAGAGGACGACCAGCCACACUGGGACUGAGACACGGCCCAGACUCCUACGGGAGGCAGCAGUGGGAAUAUUGGACAAUGGGGGAACCCUGAUCCAGCGACGCCGCGUGUGUGAAGAAGGCCUGGCGGG
Molecule: ribosomal RNA, 396 nt
Filed under: uncultured bacterium
Lineage: Bacteria
Description: bacterial SSU rRNA
Rfam family: Bacterial small subunit ribosomal RNA
Source: RNAcentral